RNAcentral lists this ribosomal RNA (727 nucleotides) under Enterobacteriaceae bacterium Jat1. RNAcentral's name for it is "bacterial SSU rRNA". It matches the Rfam family "Bacterial small subunit ribosomal RNA", at positions 729 to 1455 of the family's 1533-position model. Lineage: Bacteria; Pseudomonadati; Pseudomonadota; Gammaproteobacteria; Enterobacterales; Enterobacteriaceae. The record is from RNAcentral.
CUGGACAAAGACUGACGCUCAGGUGCGAAAGCGUGGGGGAGCAAACAGGAUUAGAUACCCUGGUAGUCCACGCCGUAAACGAUGUCGAUUUGGAGGUUGUGCCCUUGAGGCGUGGCUUCCGGAGCUAACGCGUUAAAUCGACCGCCUGGGGAGUACGGCCGCAAGGUUAAAACUCAAAUGAAUUGACGGGGGCCCGCACAAGCGGUGGAGCAUGUGGUUUAAUUCGAUGCAACGCGAAGAACCUUACCUGGUCUUGACAUCCACAGAACUUUCCAGAGAUGGAUUGGUGCCUUCGGGAACUGUGAGACAGGUGCUGCAUGGCUGUCGUCAGCUCGUGUUGUGAAAUGUUGGGUUAAGUCCCGCAACGAGCGCAACCCUUAUCCUUUGUUGCCAGCGGUUAGGCCGGGAACUCAAAGGAGACUGCCAGUGAUAAACUGGAGGAAGGUGGGGAUGACGUCAAGUCAUCAUGGCCCUUACGACCAGGGCUACACACGUGCUACAAUGGCAUAUACAAAGAGAAGCGACCUCGCGAGAGCAAGCGGACCUCAUAAAGUAUGUCGUAGUCCGGAUUGGAGUCUGCAACUCGACUCCAUGAAGUCGGAAUCGCUAGUAAUCGUAGAUCAGAAUGCUACGGUGAAUACGUUCCCGGGCCUUGUACACACCGCCCGUCACACCAUGGGAGUGGGUUGCAAAAGAAGUAGGUAGCUUAACCUUCGGGAGGGCGCUU